UACGUAGGGUGCAGGCGUUACUCGGAAUUACUGGGCGUAAAGCGUGCGCAGGCGGUUUGCUAAGACAGGUGUGAAAUCCCCGGGCUUAACCUGGGAACUGCGCUUGUUACUGGCAGGCUUGAGUGUGGCAGAGGGGGGUGGAAUUCCACGUGUAGCAGUGAAAUGCGUAGAGAUGUGGAGGAACACCGAUGGCGAAGGCAGCCCCCUGGGCUGACACUGACGCUCAGGCACGAAAGCGUGGGGAGCAAACAGG
Molecule: ribosomal RNA, 253 nt
Filed under: uncultured bacterium
Lineage: Bacteria
Description: partial 16S ribosomal RNA
Rfam family: Bacterial small subunit ribosomal RNA
Source: RNAcentral